This is a long non-coding RNA of Manihot esculenta (cassava), 3037 nucleotides long. RefSeq lists it as uncharacterized. The record is from RefSeq and is a predicted model, not a curated record. The transcript has 2 exons. Lineage: Eukaryota; Viridiplantae; Streptophyta; Magnoliopsida; Malpighiales; Euphorbiaceae.
UCUUUUUAUUGACUCUCCCAUUUUUCAUCCCCUCUCUGUACAAAACAAGGAGACAGAGAGAGAGAGAGAGAGAAGAACGUCCGGAAAAGGUGAACCUGGACUUGCUAGAUUGCUAUGGUUGGGGGGUGAAGUCACUGGAGGCAGCGGUUCAUCGAUCUCUUCCUGGAGAAUUUUGUUGUGAAAUUAGCACAAACACAUGAAUCGAUCGAUAAACCUCUGCAUCCAGCGCUCACCCUCUCCCUUUUUUCUCUCUGUCUGUUUUCUGUUUGGUUUCCGAGAAAUUGUUACAGAAAAUAAUCUAUUUUAUGUUUUUCCAUAUUCCCUGGGCUGAAAUUUUGCGGCGCUUUCUUUGACUAUUGGUUAUUAUUAUUAUUUGAUACUCUAAUUGAAGCUCGUUGCAGAAAAGCAAAUGCGCCCCCGUCCAGCUAUGGACUUGUUCCGGUAGCAUUCUUUUUCCUAUUAUCCAUUAAUUUCUCACACGUCUCUACUACUGCUAUAAUUUUGGGUGUUGAAUUUGAGCUUGGUAGUGCCUUUAGUCUUAGAUUAAGCUUUAUAGGAGUUUUUAUAUGUGCUAAUUUUUUCUUUGUUGGUUUCCUAUUUCAAUUAUCUUAAGUAUCAUCUGUUGUAUGAUGUGUUAUUGAGUGAAGAUUUGAUGAUUUAAUCUAACAGUUAUGGUUAUUAAGCUUGUUCUUGUGUGAGGUUGAGCUUGUAUUAGAUGGAUCCUUUUCAGUAAUGAGUGAAAUUGUGAAUUUUGUGCUUUAUUGAUCACAAUUUGUUCAAGUUUUUGCUCACACAAACUUUGUCAAUUAUAUAAUUUUUGGGCCAAAGAAUUCUAAUUGUUUUCUGCGUAGUCAUACUCUGCUGUUAGUUUUGUGAAUCUGCAAAUUGUUAUGAUGGUUCAUAAUGCUUUUUAGGACCCAUAUUCAUUAACUUAUGCUGUCGGACUAGCAUACGGGGCAUGCAGCAUGUUCAUUGCCUUUUUCAUUUUCUUCAUUCAUGCUUUAUUUGUUUCUAUGAAUAAGUUUUAGCAUAUUUGUUCCACUCGUAUGACAUUAACUCUCCAUGUUCUGUUAGUGUCCAUGAUUGAAGACCGUGACUAUUAGCUUUCUGCUUAAGUUUCGAGAACCUUGACUUGACUUUCUUUUACUUUGAUGUGUGCUUCAUUUUUAUUCCCAGUGUUGAUUAUUUCAAAUUGCUGAUCUUCUUUCAAUAUCAAUCUUCUAGUCUCUUGCCUGAUGCAGUUGCAUGAGAAGAAUUUAUUGGAGUUUUUUUAUAGAGCUAGUUCUUAGUUAUAUAUAUAUAUAUAUAUAUAUAUAUAUAUAUAUUAUAUGAAGUUCCUAGUUUAUUAUAUUAUGAUGGAGAUAAUGAUUCCUUUUCCGUAGUUUAAUUUGCCAAGAUUCAUUAUCAUAUUACUUCCUUGCUGUUGAGUUUGCUUGUAUUUUAGGUUUGGUGUCUCUGAAAAUAAUGGACAUGGUCUUUUUGUCCCAAUUAUAUCUUGAUUUUUGCUUGGAAAAAACUAUCUUAGCAUUUCUGAAUUCAAUUUUUCUCUUUUGAUGAUUGAAAAUUAGUCUGAUCCUUGACAUAUACGUUUCUGGCUAACUCCAGCUCUUUAAACUUGUGUAAUUAUCAAAUUGAGAUUCAAAUCGAGAACAUAAAUUUUCAUUCUGUAUAUUAGGAAUCAAAGUGAAUUAAGAUUCGAUAAAUAUUCUCAAAAUUGAUUAAAAAUAUUCUGUGUUUUAUAAAAGCAAAAGAAAAAUGUAAUAAUAUAUUUUUAUGAAUAUAGAAUUAUUGUGCUUUAUAGUUUAUGGCGUAAAUUAUGAACUCAUGAAUUGUAGACAAGAUAUUAAAUGUGAUUUGCUGAAACUCAUUUUGACUUAAUCAAGUAAUUAAAUAAAAAAAGGGAGAGAUUAAAAGGUGAAUAUAUUGAUAUAAAAAAUCAUACUUUGAUAACUUAGUUAAGGAAGUGAAUUACCGAGAGAGGGAGAAAGAGAGAAAUGGCUAGUGGAAGUGAAAUAGUUAAAGAGAAAAUUUUGUAUGCCUUUUCAAGUACAAAUGGAGUGAAUUGUCAAACUUUGAAGCUAUUGAAUCUAAACACUCUUUAAAGAAAUAAUCUAUCAAAUCGGUCAAUUUGUGUCGGUUUUACUUGAUUUAUUAUCGAUAUUUUUCAAUUCGGUCAUGAGUCGAGUGUGUUUGUAAUUCACCUCGUAACAUUCAAAUUGCUGUGAUGGGGAAUCAAAUUGAGAACUUUUACAUUAUUGAACAGUGAAAAGUCUCAUCUCGUUUUUAACCAGAUCAUUUUUUUGGGUGGGAUUAUAUAAAUGUGAAGGUAACCAUUGUCCAAAAAGCACACUACAAGGAGCUCUGCAAUUUUAUGAGUAUGGAACACUUUUUUUUUUCCCAGAAAAUAGGAAGAAACUGUCUGCUUGUUUUUGUAGACAUGGAGGUAAUAGGAAUUUUUUUUUUUUUUUGCUCCUUUUUCUUUUCCGAAGUCAUAGGAGUUAAUUGGCUGCCAAUUAUGUGUCAUUUUCUUCACCAAGUGGUCAAAAAGUAGUUUCCUUGUUUCUUUCUUGGUAAAAAAGAAAAGCUAUAUUUGGAGGAAGUUUCCAAGCGGGAGACAUACCAUCGUCAUAAAUACUCCAUGAAAGUGAAGGGAAAAUAUAAUUAUGGUGUAUCAGCUUAUUGGAGAAUCAGAUAGGUUGAGGAUGUGUACUAAUGGAAUGUGGAAUUGGUAAUCUUGUAUCAUGUUCCUUGUGCCAGCCAAACUAUUGUGUAAAUCAACUAGAAUUCUCUAGUCUACCAUGUGGACCAAGCAAAUUUAGAGAAAGUGUUAUUCCUGGGACAAGACUACAACUCAGAAAGAGAGAUUCCUGAGAAAGAAGCUGAGGAUAUUCUUCAUUUAUUUUUAUAUUUUUUCCUUUUUCUAAUACUUGGUCUACAAUUGCUUUCUUGCUGAAUUUAUUAUUCCCAAUUUACUUUACUGAACUUAUUAUUCCCAAGUUUGCUUUUAAUGGGAAAGCUUAAAGUUGAUCCUUUCGUC